GCUACGGGUGGCUGCAGUGAGGAAUAUUGGUCAAUGGGCGCGAGCCUGAACCAGCCAAGUCGCGUGAGGGAAGACGGUCCUAUGGAUUGUAAACCUCUUUUGUCGGGGAGCAAAAGACGCCACGCGUGGAGUUCCGCGAGUACCCGAAGAAAAAGCAUCGGCUAACUCCGUGCCAGCAGCCGCGGUAAUACGGAGGAUGCGAGCGUUAUCCGGAUUUAUUGGGUUUAAAGGGUGCGCAGGCGGAAGAUCAAGUCAGCGGUAAAAUUGUGGGGCAAAACCUCUUCGUGCCGUUGAAACUGGUUUUCUUGAGUGCACGAGAAGUAUGCGGAAUGCGUGGUGUAGCGGUGAAAUGCAUAGAUAUCACGCAGAACUCCGAUUGCGAAGGCAGCAUACCGGCGCUCAACUGACGCUGAUGCACGAAAGUGUGGGUAUCGAACAGGAUUAGAUACCCUAGUAGUC
This 459-nucleotide ribosomal RNA is filed under the name uncultured bacterium. Its description in RNAcentral is "partial 16S ribosomal RNA". It matches the Rfam family "Bacterial small subunit ribosomal RNA", at positions 338 to 795 of the family's 1533-position model. The record is from RNAcentral.